GACGAACGCUGGCGGCGUGCUUAACACAUGCAAGUCGAACGGAAAGGCCCUGCUUUUGUGGGGUGCUCGAUUGGCGAACGGGUGAGUAACACGUGAGUAACCUGCCCUUGACUUUGGGAUAACUUCAGGAAACUGGGGCUAAUACCGGAUAGGAGCUCCUGCUGCAUGGUGGUGGUUGGAAAGUUUCGGCGGUGGGGGAUGGACUCGCGGCUUAUCAGCUUGUUGGUGGGGUAGUGGCUUACCAAGGCUUUGACGGGUAGCCGGCCUGAGAGGGUGACCGGCCACAUUGGGACUGAGAUACGGCCCAGACUCCUACGGGAGGCAGCAGUGGGGAAUAUUGCACAAUGGGCGGAAGCCUGAUGCAGCAACGCCGCGUGCGGGAUGACGGCCUUCGGGUUGUAAACCGCUUUCGCCUGUGACGAAGCGUGAGUGACGGUAAUGGGUAAAGAAGCAACGGCUAACUACGUG
RNAcentral lists this ribosomal RNA (468 nucleotides) under uncultured bacterium. RNAcentral describes it as "partial 16S ribosomal RNA". It matches the Rfam family "Bacterial small subunit ribosomal RNA", at positions 28 to 507 of the family's 1533-position model. The record is from RNAcentral.